RNAcentral lists this ribosomal RNA (1069 nucleotides) under Salmonella enterica. Its description in RNAcentral is "bacterial SSU rRNA". It matches the Rfam family "Bacterial small subunit ribosomal RNA", at positions 1 to 1059 of the family's 1533-position model. Lineage: Bacteria; Pseudomonadati; Pseudomonadota; Gammaproteobacteria; Enterobacterales; Enterobacteriaceae. The record is from RNAcentral.
AAAUUGAAGAGUUUGAUCAUGGCUCAGAUUGAACGCUGGCGGCAGGCCUAACACAUGCAAGUCGAACGGUAACAGGAAGCAGCUUGCUGCUUUGCUGACGAGUGGCGGACGGGUGAGUAAUGUCUGGGAAACUGCCUGAUGGAGGGGGAUAACUACUGGAAACGGUGGCUAAUACCGCAUAACGUCGCAAGACCAAAGAGGGGGACCUUCGGGCCUCUUGCCAUCAGAUGUGCCCAGAUGGGAUUAGCUUGUUGGUGAGGUAACGGCUCACCAAGGCGACGAUCCCUAGCUGGUCUGAGAGGAUGACCAGCCACACUGGAACUGAGACACGGUCCAGACUCCUACGGGAGGCAGCAGUGGGGAAUAUUGCACAAUGGGCGCAAGCCUGAUGCAGCCAUGCCGCGUGUAUGAAGAAGGCCUUCGGGUUGUAAAGUACUUUCAGCGGGGAGGAAGGUGUUGUGGUUAAUAACCGCAGCAAUUGACGUUACCCGCAGAAGAAGCACCGGCUAACUCCGUGCCAGCAGCCGCGGUAAUACGGAGGGUGCAAGCGUUAAUCGGAAUUACUGGGCGUAAAGCGCACGCAGGCGGUCUGUCAAGUCGGAUGUGAAAUCCCCGGGCUCAACCUGGGAACUGCAUUCGAAACUGGCAGGCUUGAGUCUUGUAGAGGGGGGUAGAAUUCCAGGUGUAGCGGUGAAAUGCGUAGAGAUCUGGAGGAAUACCGGUGGCGAAGGCGGCCCCCUGGACAAAGACUGACGCUCAGGUGCGAAAGCGUGGGGAGCAAACAGGAUUAGAUACCCUGGUAGUCCACGCCGUAAACGAUGUCUACUUGGAGGUUGUGCCCUUGAGGCGUGGCUUCCGGAGCUAACGCGUUAAGUAGACCGCCUGGGGAGUACGGCCGCAAGGUUAAAACUCAAAUGAAUUGACGGGGGCCCGCACAAGCGGUGGAGCAUGUGGUUUAAUUCGAUGCAACGCGAAGAACCUUACCUGGUCUUGACAUCCACGGAAGUUUUCAGAGAUGAGAAUGUGCCUUCGGGAACCGUGAGACAGGUGCUGCAUGGCUGUCGUCAGC